Molecule: non-coding RNA, 121 nt
Organism: Populus trichocarpa (black cottonwood)
Lineage: Eukaryota; Viridiplantae; Streptophyta; Magnoliopsida; Malpighiales; Salicaceae
Source: Rfam
UAAUCUGUUUAGAGUAGAUCAUUAUUUAUUUAUGGCAAACUCAUACUUGAUUGCUCAGAAUCACCUAUUAUCACAAAUCUAAUUACAUAUUAAUUAUUCGGUUAGGUAUUCUGAUUAGAAA